RNAcentral lists this transfer RNA (71 nucleotides) under Rodentolepis nana. Its description in RNAcentral is "Hymenolepis nana tRNA". It matches the Rfam family "tRNA". Rfam says of the family: Transfer RNA (tRNA) molecules are approximately 80 nucleotides in length. Their secondary structure includes four short double-helical elements and three loops (D, anti-codon, and T loops). Lineage: Eukaryota; Metazoa; Platyhelminthes; Cestoda; Cyclophyllidea; Hymenolepididae. The record is from Rfam by way of RNAcentral.
GGCUCAGUGGUCUAGGGGUGUGAUUCUCGUUUGGGUGCGAGAGGUUCCGGGUUCAAAUCCCGGUUGAGCUC